This 45-nucleotide non-coding RNA is filed under the name Phytophthora ramorum (sudden oak death agent). The record is from RNAcentral. Lineage: Eukaryota; Oomycota; Peronosporomycetes; Peronosporales; Peronosporaceae.
UUAUUAGAUAAAUGAACCCAAAGGCAGUAUUUGGUAUUUCCACCA